Molecule: ribosomal RNA, 564 nt
Filed under: Triticum aestivum (bread wheat)
Lineage: Eukaryota; Viridiplantae; Streptophyta; Magnoliopsida; Poales; Poaceae
Description: partial small subunit ribosomal RNA
Source: RNAcentral
UUCGACCAGAUGCUAAAGGAUCACAAAACAUUGUUGUAUCCAACUGUCGAAGAUGGCCAGAAAAAGCUGGGUAGCACACUGGAAUUGCUGCAAUGGAAGGCAGAAUGCGAUGUGACUGACAACGCAUUUACAAAGUUGCUGAAAAUAGUUAAGAGUCAGCUUCCAAGAAAUAAUGAAUUGCCUGAAAAUACAUACCAAGCAAAGAAGGUUGUCUGCCCUCUAGGCUUGGACGUGCAGAAGAUACAUGCCUGCAUUAAUGACUGCAUCCUCUACCGCGGUGAGAAGUACGAGAAUUUAGAAGCAUGCCCGAUAUGCACUGCAUUACGGUAUAAGAUCAGACGAGACGACCCUGGCGAUGUUGAGGAUGAGGCCCCCAGGAAGAAGGUUCCUGCAAAGGUGAUGUGGUAUGCUCCUAUAAUACCACGGCUAAAACAUUUGUUCAGGAACAAAGAGCAUGCCAAACUGUCGCGAUGGCACAUGGAAGACUGUAAGAAAGACGAGAUGUUGAGACACCCCGCUGAUGGGUCGCAGUGGAGAAAAAUCGAGAGAAAGUUCCCGACCUUU